This 57-nucleotide transfer RNA is filed under the name Phytophthora nicotianae P10297. It matches the Rfam family "tRNA", at positions 8 to 63 of the family's 71-position model. Rfam says of the family: Transfer RNA (tRNA) molecules are approximately 80 nucleotides in length. Their secondary structure includes four short double-helical elements and three loops (D, anti-codon, and T loops). Further hydrogen bonds mediate the characteristic L-shaped molecular structure. tRNAs have two regions of fundamental functional importance: the anti-codon, which is responsible for specific mRNA codon recognition, and the 3' end, to which the tRNAs corresponding amino acid is attached (by aminoacyl-tRNA synthetases). tRNAs cope with the degeneracy of the genetic code in two manners: having more than one tRNA (with a specific anti-codon) for a particular amino acid; and 'wobble' base-pairing, i.e. permitting non-standard base-pairing at the 3rd anti-codon position. The record is from Rfam by way of RNAcentral. Lineage: Eukaryota; Oomycota; Peronosporomycetes; Peronosporales; Peronosporaceae. RNAcentral also lists the same sequence under 1 other name.
UAGCUCAAUGGUAGAGCGUUAGCUUUGGAAGCCAAAGAUCGGUGGUUCGAUCCCGUC